UUGACCUCAAAUCGGGUGAGACUACCCGCUGAACUUAAGCAUAUCAAUAAGCGGAGGAAAAGAAACUAACAAGGAUUCCCCUAGUAACUGCGAGUGAAGCGGGAAAAGCUCAAAUUUAAAAUCUGGUGGCCUUUGGUCAUCCGAGUUGUAAUUUAGAGAAGCGUCUUCCGCGCUGGACCGUGCACAAGUCUCCUGGAAUGGAGCGUCAUAGAGGGUGAGAAUCCCGUCUUUGGCACGGAUCCCGGUGCUUCUGUGAUGC
Molecule: ribosomal RNA, 259 nt
Filed under: Russula silvicola
Lineage: Eukaryota; Fungi; Basidiomycota; Agaricomycetes; Russulales; Russulaceae
Description: partial 26S ribosomal RNA
Rfam family: Eukaryotic large subunit ribosomal RNA
Source: RNAcentral